UACAGAGGGGGCUAGCGUUGUUCGGAAUUACUGGGCGUAAAGUGUGCGCAGGCGGCGCUGCAAGUCGAGUGUGAAAUCCCCGAGCUUAACUUGGGAAUUGCGCUCGAAACUACGGCGCUGGAGUAUGGCAGAGGAAGGUGGAAUUCCACGUGUAGCGGUGAAAUGCGUAGAGAUGUGGAGGAACACCGAUGGCGAAGGCAGCCUUCUGGGCCAAUACUGACGCUCACGCACGAAAGCGUGGGGAGCAAACAGG
This 253-nucleotide ribosomal RNA is filed under the name uncultured bacterium. RNAcentral describes it as "partial 16S ribosomal RNA". It matches the Rfam family "Bacterial small subunit ribosomal RNA", at positions 524 to 776 of the family's 1533-position model. The record is from RNAcentral.